CUGAAUGAUGAUAUCCUACUAACCAGGCAGUCAGUAAUUGGUCCUUUGGUGUAUGAUGUAGUAAUUGUUGUAAAAGAUGGGAGGGAUGAGAAA
RNAcentral lists this small nucleolar RNA (93 nucleotides) under Chinchilla lanigera (long-tailed chinchilla). RNAcentral's name for it is "Small nucleolar RNA SNORD21 (ENSCLAG00000020023.1)". Lineage: Eukaryota; Metazoa; Chordata; Mammalia; Rodentia; Chinchillidae. The record is from RNAcentral.